CUUUUUGUUUGCUUUGCAAUCCUAGCUUACUUUCGUUUAUACUGUGUAGCCAUAUGAAUCUCUCACUCAAACUUCCAGGGCCUUUUGGGGAAAAAUGAGAAGCUAAUGGGGCUUCCCUGGUAGCUCAGCUGGUAAAGAAUCUGCCUGCAAUGCAGGACACCCAGCUCCAGCACUUCCAGCUGACAUCCAUCCUGGGGUCCAAGGUGGAAGUUCUGAAGCAGUCGGAGAGUCUGAGGUAAGACGCUGGGCCUUGCUCCCCAUGGGGCUCCCUUUUCCAAUGGCCACUGGGUGCACCAGAUUGUAUUGAAAGAAUCCAGUUAGGGUAACCCCCUUACAUCAGAAAAAGGCCAUUUUGGAUUGAAGUUCAAAGAGGAUUCCAUCUUUGUUUUGACCU
RNAcentral lists this long non-coding RNA (394 nucleotides) under Bos indicus x Bos taurus (hybrid cattle). Its description in RNAcentral is "lncRNA (ENSBIXG00005000314.1)". Lineage: Eukaryota; Metazoa; Chordata; Mammalia; Artiodactyla; Bovidae. The record is from RNAcentral.